Molecule: long non-coding RNA, 1877 nt
Organism: Esox lucius (northern pike)
Lineage: Eukaryota; Metazoa; Chordata; Actinopteri; Esociformes; Esocidae
Source: Ensembl
GAGAAACACGAGGGUGUAGAGAAGAGCAGAGUCGUACAGAUAGUGAGAGACAAACCAUAUAGCCUGCCGUUUAAUGUGUAUUUUAUAUACAUAGGACUGUGAACUGUUUUCCUUAUUACGCUACGAGUGUGAGUCGUCACCGUUUACUGAUGACAAAGUGUGGUUUCGUCGGACUGAAGCAACUAGCCAGCUUAGCUAAAACGCCGCAAUCGCCGGAGAUACGACGGUUGCAUUCUUCGCCCGCACGGACGGACCGGAGCGGAGACUGGUUGGGAGAGGUUUCGGAGGUCGACGCGGAUGUGUUGCUAUGGGUGGACUGCUGUUCAUCGCUUCUGUGCGGAGUGACACGGGUCUGGAAAGAGGACGCGAUUUAAAGAGAACAUAUACCCCCUUGCCAUGAAGACUCUCUUUUCUCUUGAUAUCUGAAGAUGUGUAGCAGACAGAAUUAAGUCUCAGGAUAAAGAUGCCAAAAGGUUGUUCUUGCAUAUCAACACAUGGGGACUACUGUCUUCAAUAUUCAGGAGCAAUGCACAGAGAGACCUGGCCCCUAUUUCAGGAAUACUUUAUUCUGGAACUUUUUACUUGACAACAUUAAGAACUGUAUUGACAUCUCUAAACAGAAUAACAAGAAGACACUGCCUUGACUAUUUACAUCAUAGACCCCUAUGCCUGUUAGUUGAUUCUAAUGAUUUAAGUUCCAAUGCCCAUAGUUGUGAUGAGUGUUGAUUCUGUGUGGCCAGUGCAUAUUGCUAAAAAUCAGAAGUAGUUGUGUGAGUCAUUAAAUACACCAUCAUGAGAUUUAAAUGAGCGGUCUCUAAUUUGGAAAGGAUUGGGGAAUGCAAGAGCUUCUCUGUUUCAAUGUCACUGAGCAGAAACCUCUGCAAAGUUCUUGUUCACCAUCCAAAGGGCCAAUGACUCAAACAUGUAUGUCCAGGAAGUUGGCUUGUGUGAUGAUGAUCCUCUUAACCUGUAGAGGAAUGUACAGUUGCUGGUCAUAAAAUUUUGAAUAUCAUCAAAAAGUAGAUUUAUUUCAGUCAUUCCAUUCAAAAAGUGAAACUUGUAUUGUCAUUGGCCAGAUUCAUGGAUGACAGUCAGAUUAAUCCAAUCAUGCUCAAAGCAUUACAGUGGACCAACACCAGCAGAUGACAUGGCACCCCAAACCAUCACAGACUGUGCUUGAAGUCCAGUGUAAAGUUUCCAAUGUGGAUUCUGUGCCUCUCCUCUCUUCCUCCAGACUCUGGGACCUUGAUUUCCAAAGGAAAUGCAAAAUAUACUUUCAUCAGAGAACAUAACUCAGCAGCAGUCCAGUCCUUUUUGUAUUUAGCCCAGGUGAGACGCUUCUGACGCUGUGUCUUGUUCAACAGUGGCUUGACACUAGGAAUGCGACAGCUGAAACCCAUGUCUUGCAUACGUCUGUGCGUGGUGGUUCUUGAAGCACUGACUCCAGCUGCAGUCCACUCUUUGUGAAUCUCCCCCACGUUUUUGAAUGGGUUUUUUACAAUCUUUUCCAGGGUGCGGUUAUCCCUAUUGCUUGUAUACUUUUUUCUAUCACAUCUUUUCCUUCCCUUCACCUCUCUAUUAAUGUGCUUGGACAUUGAGCUCUGUGAACAGCCAGCCUCUUUAGCUAUGACCUUUUGUGUCUUGCCCUCCUUGUGCAAGUUGUCAAUGGUCAUCUUUUGGAUAGCUGUCAAGUCAGCAGUCUUCCCCAUGAUUGUGUUGCCUACAGAACUAGACUGAGACCAUUUAAAGGCCUUUGCAGGUGUUUUGGGUUAAUUAGCUGAUUAGAGUGUGGCACCAGGGGUCUUCAAUAUUGAACCUUUUCACAAUAUUCUAAUUAUGAGAUACUGAAUUUGGGUUUUUCAUUAGUUGUCAGUUAU